CAGUCUCAGUGUGCAUUUUCAU
RNAcentral lists this microRNA (22 nucleotides) under Ptychodera flava. RNAcentral's name for it is "Pfl-Mir-4828-P2_5p* (star (passenger))". The record is from RNAcentral. Lineage: Eukaryota; Metazoa; Hemichordata; Enteropneusta; Ptychoderidae.